RNAcentral lists this ribosomal RNA (440 nucleotides) under uncultured bacterium. RNAcentral describes it as "partial 16S ribosomal RNA". It matches the Rfam family "Bacterial small subunit ribosomal RNA", at positions 338 to 795 of the family's 1533-position model. The record is from RNAcentral.
CCUACGGGUGGCAGCAGUGGGGGAUAUUGCACAAUGGGGGGAACCCUGAUGCAGCGACGCCGCGUGGGUGAAGGAGCGUUUCGGCGCGUAAAGCCCUAUCGGCAGGGAAGAAGAUGACGGUACCUGACCAAGAAGCCCCGGCUAACUACGUGCCAGCAGCCGCGGUAAUACGUAGGGGGCAAGCGUUAUCCGGAUAUACUGGGUGUAAAGGGGGCGCAGACGGCAAUGCAAGCCAGGUGUGAAAGCCCCGGGGCCAAACCCGGGUCAGCUCUUGGAACUAGAAGGCUAGAGUACAGGAGGGGCAGGCGGAAUUCCUAGUGUAGCGGUGAAAUGCGUAGAUAUUAGGAAGAACACCAAUGGCGAAGGCGGCCUGCUGGGCUGUGACUGACGCUGAGGCCCGAAGGCGUGGGGAGCAAACAGGAUUAGAUACCCCUGUAGUC